Molecule: ribosomal RNA, 77 nt
Filed under: Megalophaedusa rhopalia
Lineage: Eukaryota; Metazoa; Mollusca; Gastropoda; Stylommatophora; Clausiliidae
Description: partial 28S rRNA
Source: RNAcentral
CUUUUCGACAGUGGUUGCUUGACUGCAGCUAAAAAAAAAAAUCACUCCGACCUCAGAUCGGACGAGAUUACCCGCUG